RNAcentral lists this non-coding RNA (71 nucleotides) under human gut metagenome. Its description in RNAcentral is "Cyclic di-GMP-I riboswitch". It matches the Rfam family "c-di-GMP-I riboswitch aptamer", at positions 6 to 74 of the family's 87-position model. From Rfam's summary of the family: GEMM was predicted in a large-scale screen for bacterial structured RNA regulatory elements. Genes associated with GEMM are involved in a diverse array of functions, including chemotaxis regulation, signal transduction, secretion and chitin. The record is from RNAcentral.
CUAAAUUGGCAAACCUGUCGAAAGGCAGGGACGCAAAGUUAAGUGUCUAAGCGGAAAAAACCGUAUGAUUG